This 260-nucleotide ribosomal RNA is filed under the name uncultured prokaryote. RNAcentral's name for it is "partial 16S ribosomal RNA". It matches the Rfam family "Bacterial small subunit ribosomal RNA", at positions 524 to 782 of the family's 1533-position model. The record is from RNAcentral.
UACGUAGGUGGCAAGCGUUGUCCGGAUUUAUUGGGCGUAAAGCGAGCGCAGGCGGUUCCUUAAGUCUGAUGUGAAAGCCCACGGCUCAACCGUGGAAGGUCAUUGGAAACUGGGGAACUUGAGUGCAGAAGGAGGAGAGUGGAAUUCCAUGUGUAGCGGUGAAAUGCGUAGAUAUAUGGAGGAACACCAGUGGCGAAGGCGACUCUCUGGUCUGUAACUGACGCUGAGGCUCGAAAGCGUGGGGAGCAAACAGGAUUAGA